This is a non-coding RNA of Alexandromys fortis (reed vole), 1151 nucleotides long. The record is from the annotation of a RefSeq genome assembly. NCBI's taxonomy places the organism in Eukaryota, Metazoa, Chordata, Mammalia, Rodentia, Cricetidae.
AUGGGCACCAGGCUCCUUUGCUGGGCAGUGCUCUGUCUCCUGGGGGCAGUCCUGUCUGAAGCUGGAGUCACUCAGUCUCCCAGAUAUGUGAUCAUACGGGAAAGGCAAGAAGUUUCCUUUUGGUGUGACCCUAUUUCUGGACAUAAUACCCUCUACUGGUAUCUGCAGCCCAGAGACCAGGGCCUCCAGUCUCUAGUUUACUUUCAGAAUGAGGCUGUUAUGGGCGAUUCACAAUUGCCCAAGGAUCGUUUUUCUGCAGUGCGGCCUGACGGAGUCAACUCCACUCUGAAGAUCCAGUCUGCAAAGCUGGAGGACUCAGCCACAUAUCUCUGUGCCAGCAGUCUCACUGGGGGGGAGGCCCAGCAUUUUGGAGAGGGGACUCGACUCUCUGUUCUAGAGGAUUUGAGCAAGGUGAGUCUGCCCAAGGUCACCUUGUUUGAGCCAUCAGAGGCAGAGAUCGUCGACAAACAAAUGGCCACCCUUGUGUGCCUGGCCAGGGGCUUCUACCCUGACCACGUGGAACUGAGCUGGUGGGUGAAUGGCAAGGAGGUCCACAGUGGAGUCAGCACAGACCCUCAGCCCUACAUGGAGAAAAAUAACCUCACCUACUGCCUGAGCAGCCGCCUGAGGGUCUCUGCGACCUUCUGGCACAAUCCUCGCAACCGCUUCCGCUGCCAAGUCCAGUUCUAUGGGCUUACAGAUGAAGACUCGUGGACCGGGCCCCCGCCCAAGCCUGUCACCCAGAACAUCAGUGCAGAGGCCUGGGGCAGCGCAGAUUGUGGCAUUACCUCAGCAUCCUACCAACAAGGGGUCCUGUCUGCCACCAUCCUUUAUGAGAUCCUGCUGGGGAAGGCCACCCUGUACGCUGUGCUUGUCAGUACCCUGGUGCUGAUGGCCAUGGUCAAAAGAAAGAAUUCCUGAGGCCAGACUUGGAGGCGGAGCCCAGAACUUCCAACCCCUUGUGUUGCUAAUACAGAUUCCUUUUUUGAGCACUUCUGAAGAGUUGUCCUCAUUUGUCUGUGUGUCCCAAAGUCUGCUUAUUAGUCAUGUGCACUUACCCAUCUGCAUCAGAAAUCCCUGGGCCCUGGAGAGCACCUAGCAUAUAUACAAUCAAAAAACAUAACCAAUAAACUUGUUCUAGAAUGACCCGA